This 206-nucleotide long non-coding RNA is filed under the name Zonotrichia albicollis (white-throated sparrow). Its description in RNAcentral is "lncRNA (ENSZALG00000016438.1)". The record is from RNAcentral. Lineage: Eukaryota; Metazoa; Chordata; Aves; Passeriformes; Passerellidae.
GGAGACCACUGAGAAGCUUAAAUCUACUCUCAGUGAGUUCCAGGCCAUCAUCGAUGAUUUCCCUGGCAUCUGCACCUGGGAGACAGCAUCUGCAACAUCUGUGACCAUGAUUAAAGGAAUGUCUCAGCUACUCACAAGGUCUACACCUGGGAUGAUUACAUCAGCUGUGCUCAGAAGCUGGUAUCACCCUACUACAUGUGAAUACA